This 253-nucleotide ribosomal RNA is filed under the name uncultured bacterium. RNAcentral describes it as "partial 16S ribosomal RNA". It matches the Rfam family "Bacterial small subunit ribosomal RNA", at positions 524 to 776 of the family's 1533-position model. The record is from RNAcentral.
UACGUAGGGUGCGAGCGUUAAUCGGAAUUACUGGGCGUAAAGCGUGCGCAGGCGGUUUUGUAAGUCUGAUGUGAAAGCCCCGGGCUUAACCUGGGAAUGGCAUUUGGGACUGCAAGGCUUGAGUGCGGCAGAGGAGACUGGAAUUCCUGGUGUAGCAGUGAAAUGCGUAGAUAUCAGGAGGAAUACCGAUGGCGAAGGCAGGUCUCUGGGCUGACACUGACGCUCAUGCACGAAAGCGUGGGGAGCAAACAGG